RNAcentral lists this non-coding RNA (29 nucleotides) under Mus musculus (house mouse). The record is from RNAcentral. Lineage: Eukaryota; Metazoa; Chordata; Mammalia; Rodentia; Muridae.
UGGAUAGAUGUAGGUGAGAGAUGUGCACC